GGGAGGUAGUGACAAUAAAUAACAAUACGGGGUUCUUUCGGAUCUCGUAAUUGGAAUGAGUACAAUUUAAAUCUCUUAACGAGGAACAAUUGGAGGGCAAGUCUGGUGCCAGCAGCCGCGGUAAUUCCAGCUCCAAUAGCGUAUAUUAAAGUUGUUGCAGUUAAAAAGCUCGUAGUUGAAUUUCGGGAUCAAUACGUCGGUCGUGCUUUUUUGGUACGCACUGGCGUCAUUGGUUUCUCCUUUCUGACGAACCAUGAUGUCAUUAAUUUGGUGUUAUGGGGAGUUAGGACUGUUACUUUGAAAAAUUAGAGUGUUUAAAGCAGGCAUUAGCUUGAAUACAUUAGCAUGGAAUAAUGAAAUAGGACGUUGAUCCUAUUUUGUUGGUUUCUAGGAUUGACGUAAUGAUUAAUAGGGAUAGUUGGG
RNAcentral lists this ribosomal RNA (423 nucleotides) under uncultured Glomeraceae. Its description in RNAcentral is "SSU rRNA". It matches the Rfam family "Eukaryotic small subunit ribosomal RNA", at positions 459 to 886 of the family's 1831-position model. The record is from RNAcentral. Lineage: Eukaryota; Fungi; Glomeromycota; Glomeromycetes; Glomerales; Glomeraceae.